RNAcentral lists this small RNA (127 nucleotides) under Marmota monax (woodchuck). The record is from RNAcentral. Lineage: Eukaryota; Metazoa; Chordata; Mammalia; Rodentia; Sciuridae.
GUCGGGUGUGGUGGCUUAUGUCUGUAAUCCAAGUGGCUCAGGAGACUGAGGCAGGAGGAUUGAGAGUUCAAAGCCAGCCUCAGCAACUUAACAAGGUCCUAAGCAACUCAGUGAGACCCUGUCUCUA